UAGUCCACGCCGUAAACGAUGAUUACUCGAUGUAUGUCCGAUUGAGGAUAUGCGUCUUAGGGAAACCGAUAAGUAAUCCACCUGGGGAGUACGCUCGCAAGAGUGAAACUCAAAGGAAUUGACGAGGGCCCGCACAAGCGGUGGAGCAUGUGGUUUAAUUCGAUGAUACGCGAGGAACCUUACCAGGGCUUAAAUGUAGAAUGACCGUCGUGGAAACACAUCUUUCUUCGGACAUUCUACAAGGUGCUGCAUGGUUGUCGUCAGCUCGUGCCGUGAGGUGUCGGGUUAAGUCCCAUAACGAGCGCAACCCCUAUCUUUAGUUGCCAGCGGUUCGGCCGGGGACUCUAAAGAAACUGCCCGUGUAAACGGAGAGGAAGGUGGGGAUGACGUCAAAUCAUCACGGCCCUUACGUCCUGGGCUACACACGUGCUACAAUGGCAGGGACAGUUAGUUGCAAUCCCGCGAGGGGGAGCUAAUCUACAAACCCUGUCUCAGUUCGGAUCGGAGUCUGCAA
RNAcentral lists this ribosomal RNA (514 nucleotides) under uncultured bacterium. RNAcentral describes it as "bacterial SSU rRNA". It matches the Rfam family "Bacterial small subunit ribosomal RNA", at positions 791 to 1310 of the family's 1533-position model. The record is from RNAcentral.